GGUGGAGCAGCUUGGUAGCUCGUCGGGCUCAUAACCCGAAGGUCGUUGGUUCAAAUCCAGCCC
Molecule: transfer RNA, 63 nt
Filed under: Piscirickettsiaceae bacterium CG12_big_fil_rev_8_21_14_0_65_44_934
Lineage: Bacteria; Pseudomonadati; Pseudomonadota; Gammaproteobacteria; Thiotrichales; Piscirickettsiaceae
Description: tRNA-Met
Rfam family: tRNA
About the family: Transfer RNA (tRNA) molecules are approximately 80 nucleotides in length. Their secondary structure includes four short double-helical elements and three loops (D, anti-codon, and T loops).
Source: RNAcentral